GAUGAACGCUGGCGGCGUGCCUAAUACAUGCAAGUCGAGCGAACAGACGAGGAGCUUGCUCCUCUGACGUUAGCGGCGGACGGGUGAGUAACACGUGGAUAACCUACCUAUAAGACUGGGAUAACUUCGGGAAACCGGAGCUAAUACCGGAUAAUAUAUUGAACCGCAUGGUUCAAUAGUGAAAGACGGUUUUGCUGUCACUUAUAGAUGGAUCCGCGCCGCAUUAGCUAGUUGGUAAGGUAACGGCUUACGAAGGCAACGAUGCGUAGCCGACCUGAGAGGGGGAUCGGCCACCCUGGAACUGAGACACGGUCCAGACUCCUACGGGAGGCAGCAGUAGGGAAUCUUCCGCAAUGGGCGAAAGCUUUACGGAGCAACGCCGCGUGAGUUAUGAAGGUCUUCGGAUCGUAAAACUCUGUUAUUAGGGAAGAACAAAUGUGUAAGGAACUAUGCACGUCUUGACGGUACCUAAUCAGAAAGCCACGGCUAACUACGUG
This 497-nucleotide ribosomal RNA is filed under the name uncultured bacterium. RNAcentral describes it as "partial 16S ribosomal RNA". It matches the Rfam family "Bacterial small subunit ribosomal RNA", at positions 28 to 507 of the family's 1533-position model. The record is from RNAcentral.